This 301-nucleotide ribosomal RNA is filed under the name uncultured bacterium. RNAcentral describes it as "partial 16S ribosomal RNA". It matches the Rfam family "Bacterial small subunit ribosomal RNA", at positions 509 to 807 of the family's 1533-position model. The record is from RNAcentral.
CAGUAGCCGCGGUUACACGAAGGGGGCUAGCGUUGUUCGGAUUUACUGGGCGUAAAGCGCACGUAGGCGGAUCCUUAAGUCAGAGGUGAAAUCCCAAGGCUCAACCUUGGAACUGCCUUUGAUACUGGGGAUCUCGAGUCCGGGAGAGGUGAGUGGAACCGCGAGUGUAGAGGUGAAAUUCGUAGAUAUUCGCAAGAACACCAGUGGCGAAGGCGACUCUCUGGUCUGUAACUGACGCUGAGGAGCGAAAGCGUGGGGAGCGAACAGGAUUAGAUACCCGCGUAGUCCCUGUCUCUUAUAC